Equus caballus (horse) is the source of this 1664-nucleotide long non-coding RNA. NCBI's taxonomy places the organism in Eukaryota, Metazoa, Chordata, Mammalia, Perissodactyla, Equidae. The record is from Ensembl.
GUCACUGGCUUGGAGCUCAGCUGACACAGUCAGCUGAGACGUCUCAGUCUUUCUCCACGUGGGCCUCAUCAUGUGGCUGCUCCGGCUUCCUCACAGCAUGGGGGCUGGGUUUCAACAAGGAGUGCUCCAAGAGAACUAGUCCCACAGACGAGUUUACCAAGAAUCCAUUGCAUCAUGCUUGCUAAUGUCCCAGUUGCCAAAGCCAAUCACAUAGCUAAGUCCACUGUCAACAUGAGAGGGAACUAUGCAAGGACAUCACACUGAGGGUUGUGGUUCAUUGGGGAAAACAAAGUAACAGUCUACUAUGGGGGGAUGUUAGAUCAUUUUGAGUAUCAUAAUAAGAGGCUUUGAAAUUCUGAGGAAGAGACUUUUAAAUCUAAGAAAAUAAUGAAAUGCAAACAAAGCAAUAUCUUGAAAAGAGAAGUACCUGGGGUCAAAUACAAUGGAAUCUCUGCAAAUAUAAUGACUGGCACCCACACCUGACACUUUCCUUUCCAUAGACUAAAUGCAUGAGGCAGCAACUGGAGUCAGCAAAGCAGAAUCCACAUUGGAAGUGAGUUAUCUAAUCCAGUAUUUAAAAAAAUAGUAGCAGAACUCUUAUUUCAAAUUGAUUCUUAUAAUAAAAACAAAACAGAAACAGGUAAGGCAGGGUACUCAUGGUUAUUUUAUUUAAAUUGACAUGUUUUGGGUACCCCCUAUUUUCAUGUAUUUUUGGCAACUUUAAUAAAAAAUAAAUAAUAAAAUAAAAUUUAAAAUUCACUUUGUAAAAUAAGACGCACAAGAGAAAAAUUGCUUGGAGUAAAGGUUUGAAGUUUUGCCCGCUCCAUUCUCUCUCACAACUCUCUGUCGCUGACAGCCCUGAUACCUCUGAGGAACGCAGCGCAGCCAGAGAUCAUAGUUUAAAGACUGUAGACUAGUUUGACUAGAAGAUGCCUAGGGGACAUCAAUAUACAUAUUUCGAUAUUUAAAACACUUAGUAAAAUCAAUACUCUGUGAUGGAUGCCGUCACACAAGAGUUGACCACGUUAAUGGGGCUGAUUCAGUAAAAGAUUCCUUGAGCUGGUCUAAUAAUAUACGCCAUAACUGAGGUCUCAAACUGUACUGUAUUAGUUUGCUGGGGCUGCUUGUAAGCCACAAACGGGGUGCCUUAAAACAACAGAAAUUUAUUCUCUCACGAUCUGGAGUCUAGAUUCCAAGAUCAAGGUGUGGGCAGGCUUGGUUCCUUCUGGGGGCUCUGAGAGAGAAGGCCUUCCACGGCCUCUCUCCUUGUUUCUGGUGUUUGCCAACAAGUCUUGGCAUUCCUUGGCUCGUAGAGGCAUCACCCCGCUCUCUGCCUCUGUUGUCGCAGUGUAUAUUCUCCCUGUGUGUCUGUCUCUCUCCUUAUAAGGACACCAAUCAUAUUGGAUUUAGGGCCCACCCUAAUCCAACAGGACCUCAUCUUAACUUGAUUAUCUGCAAAGACCCUAAUGGCAAAAAGAGUCCCAGUCACAAGUCCCAGUCACAUGUCCGAGGUGGACGUGAAGUUUGGGAGGACACUAUGGCCCAGAAGGCAUGUCUGUAACUGGGGGCGGUGGUGAGUGGCGUUCACUCAGGGCGGCUCCCUCUUUCACUUCACAUAUCAGGCCAACACUGGUCACUGAGAACUUCAAGGGCCUGCUCAUCAC